Molecule: long non-coding RNA, 2234 nt
Organism: Pan paniscus (pygmy chimpanzee)
Lineage: Eukaryota; Metazoa; Chordata; Mammalia; Primates; Hominidae
Source: Ensembl
AUGCCAGCACCAGAUCUCUCUUCGGAAGGAGGAGCGGGGCGGGCUACACGGCCAGACGGGCCCUCCCCUUCAGGCCGGGUGGGCCGCGCGCUUGCGAUUUUCCGUCCGUGGUCCCGGGGCAGCCCGGGCCAGCCCAGGAGAACCCGCGAGCCCAGCGGCGCCUGCACCUGCGGCUUCCGGGAGCCGGGCGGCCCCCGCGGUGCAGGCGCGCGCCUAACGGCUUUGCGAGGCUCACUAGGUCUGAGAGGUCGGAGGCCGCCAGUGUCGCUGCUGAAGGGUGGACCAGGCGGGAUCGCGGAUUCUGGGCUACAUCGCAGACUUGCCGCAGGGGCCGGCGGUCCGGGGCUCCCUAGGCCACGUCUACAGGGGUUCGGGGUACCGAAUCGGAAGAUCCACAGGGCGCUGUCAAGGGCGAAGCCGCGGAAGUGGAUCGCUGCCUGGCGUGCAGGAGCAGAGACCUGGAAGCCGGGGACACGCAGCACAGGCAGUGGGGAGGUGCCUAAUGAGAGAACUGAUUCCGUGAGUCGGCCGGGCGCGGUGGCUCAGGCCUGUAAUCCCAGCACUUUGGGAGGCCAAGGCGGGCGGAUCACGAGGUCAAGAGAUCGAGACCAUCCUGGGUAACACGGAGAAACCCCGUCUCUACUAAAAAUAAAAAAUAAAAAUAAAAAUAAAAAUAAAAAAAUUAGCCGAGCGUGGUGGCGGGCGCCUGUAGUCCCAGCUACUCGGGAGGCUGAGGCAGGAGAAUGGCGUGAACCCGGGAGGCGGAGUUUGCAGUGAGCCGAGAUCGCGCCAUUGCACUCCAGCCUGGGCGACAGAGUGAGACUCCGUCUCCAAAAAAGAAAAAAAAACAAAACAAAAAACAAACAAAAAAAAACCGUGAGUCAUUUUCAGUAGCGAAAAGCUCUCACCUAAAACUGUCCGUUUUACAUCCGUAUCCACCUGUGUAGAUCGGUUCUUUACUGAAGGUUCUUAGAAGGAAACUUGGAAGUGGGAGGUGGGUUCUGUGUUCCUGAAUGGGAAGACACGUUUUUCUCACAAUGUGAGCUCUUUCUGUGAUUAUCAAUUUUACAUAAGCCGAAUGAAAAAAUCAAGGUUUUAACAUUUUUGCGUGACACCUACUGUCUUUUACUAUUGUAAUGACAUUUGUAAAAAUUUUAGGGCUGGGCGCGGUGGCUCACGCCUGUAAUCCCAGCACUUUGGGAGGCCGAGGUGGGCGGAUCACGAGGUCAGGAGAUUGAGACCAUCCUGGCGAACACGGUGAAACCCUGUCUGUACUAAAAAUACAAAAAAAUAAUGAUAAUAAUAAUAAUAAUAGCCGGGCGUGUUGAUGGGCGCCCAUAGUCCCAGCUACUCCGGAGGCUGAGGCAGGAGAAUGGCGUGAACCCGGGAGGGGGAGCUUGCAGUGAGCCGCGAUCCAAACGUGCUGGGAUUACAGCUGUGAGCCACCGCGCCCGGGCUGAAAAGUGCAUCUUCGUUUUACAGGGAAUUCUUUCAAAUCAAAUAAUCAAAAACUCUAAAAGCGGGCAAAGUACUUCUUUGCAGAUCUACAAGUUUCUUUCUUUUUUUUUUUAAAUAACGGAAAACUUUUGAAGUUUAUUCAAUGAUUAAAAGAACUUAAAAAUAAAGAACUUAUUUGUGUAGAGGAAGGCUUUUUCUUGGCACAGUUAUUAAAAUUCUCUGGAAUAGAUUUCAAUUUUUUUCUUUUCUUUUUUUUUCCCAUUUUUCUCCAGUGAUUUUUAUUAUUAUUAUUAUUAUACUUUAAGUUUUAGGGUACAUGUGCACAUUGUGCAGGUUAGUUACAUAUGUAUACAUGUGCCAUGCUGGUGUGCUGCACCCACUAACUGGUCAUCUAGCAUUAGGUAUAUCUCCCAAUGCUACCCCUCCCCUCUGCCCCCGCCCCACAACAGUCCCCAGAGUGUGAUAUUCCCCUUCCUGUGUCCAUGUGAUCUCAUUGUUCAAUUCCCACCUAUGAGUGAGAAUAUGCGGUGUUUGGUUUUUUGUUCUUGCGAUAGUUUACUGAGAAUGAUGAUUUCCAAUUUCAUCCAUGUCCCUACAAAGGACGUGAACUCAUCAUUUUUUAUGGCUGCACAGUAUUCCAUGGUGUAUAUGUGCCACAUUUUCUUAAUCCAGUCUAUCAUUGUUGGACAUUUGGGUUGGUUCCAAGUCUUUGCUAUUGUGAAUAAUGCCGCAAUAAACAUACGUGUGCAUGUGUCUUUAUAGCAGCAUGAUUUAUA